GGCUGACAGAGGUACAUUGGCUUCCCCAAAUCAGCCAGCCGAUGGAAAUGGAUGUUUUUUCAAACUUGGUACUUCGCUAGGAUUUCAAAAUGGCGGCUGACAGAGGUACAUUGGCUUCCCCAAAUCAGCCAGCCGAUGGAAAUGGAUGUUUUUUCAAACUUGGUUCUUCGCUAGGAUUUCAAAAUGGCGGCUGACAGAGGCUGUUUACAGCCAUUUGCAUAUGAAGAAAACCCUGUAGCUUGAGGGUCUCUUUUUUCUUGGAACAUUUUGCCCUUCUUUUAAGCCCCACCUACACUGUUUGCUAGUGUAGAUGGAGCAAAUUGGAUAAUUUUUAUGUGGCAACUAUAUUUGCUCAAAAGCUAGCAGGUUUGCUUUUUCUCGGCAAUUAAAAAUUGUCACACAUGAGAAAUUGCUAGUGUAUAUACCAACAAAUAAAGUUGUCAACUAAAUUUUUUUAGUAUAGAUGGGGCUUGAGGGUUAUAUGAAUGUUUAAUUUAUAACAAUUGUGAAUAUGGCUAUAUUAGAUCUUUUCUAUCGUAAGCAUAAAAAAAGGCGGCUGUGUGAAAUUCUUUAAGCGUCUUCACAUCUGUCACUGUAGGAAGAUCAGCAGAAAGGUGAUCAGGGGAAAGACUAUUCUGUUGAAUGCAAAGUCUACCUGAAGGAUGAACAUGAUGAGGUGUUUGCUCCCCCCUUAGAAUACACAAUAAAGAGCGAGAAUCGGGGGGAUGCGGUCACUGGACACUACUUGACUUACAGUGCAGGUGUACUGUCGGCGACUGGUAACCGAUGUGAUGAAAAUGCACGAUUCAGGUUCCGCAGUGCUUUGUUCACUGUAAACUCCAUUAUACGAACUGUCAGCAUUAUCGAGUCAGCAGGGAACCCUGGCAAGGUUAUAGCAAUCAAAAACAACCGCGUCAUUAUGAAGACUCCCUCAGUGCCCAUGGACAAGGUGUACAGCGUCCGGGCCACGCUCAAGUCGGACCCAGAAAUCCUGUUCAUCCAUCAUCCGCUUUCAAGAGGCAGUGAGCGUUGCUUUCUUCAGUUACUAAGCAACCACGACAUUACCCCGAAGUACCUUGGAUUCGACGAAAAGGGAGCCGGCGUGGUGCUGAGUACCGCGAGUAAAGACAAAUCGGAAGCAAUUUUUUAUGUCACAUCUCGCAUUUGUUAAAGUCCAUAUAUUUAAUCUAGAGAAGCUAAGACAAAAAAGAUGUAUCACGCUCUCAUGAUUAAAUUUCGUAAACUGUCACAAAGAAAAUCCUGAGCGAAACCAUAUCCAUCGCUUUGGGCACAUUGUGGUUACGAGAAUCAAGCAUAGGCAAAACGGAUGGAGUUAUAUUAAAAAGCAUGUUUCUUUUAGGCUUUGCCAAUUUGAUCUAAACAACAGGUUGGGUGGAUUUUAAAAGAAUGCUAGUAAGAAUUAACAGAUCAAUAACAGAUCGUUUUUUGAAUUCAAUAAACACCAAGAAAACACGUGA
Molecule: long non-coding RNA, 1478 nt
Organism: Nematostella vectensis (starlet sea anemone)
Lineage: Eukaryota; Metazoa; Cnidaria; Anthozoa; Actiniaria; Edwardsiidae
Exons: 3
Source: RefSeq, a predicted model, not a curated record